GACGAACGCUGGCGGCGUGCUUAACACAUGCAAGUCGAACGGACAGGCCCUGCUUUUGUGGGGUGCUCGAGUGGCGAACGGGUGAGUAACACGUGAGUAACCUGCCCUUGACUUUGGGAUAACUUCAGGAAACUGGGGCUAAUACCGGAUAGGAGCUCCUGCUGCAUGGUGGGGGUUGGAAAGUUUCGGCGGUUGGGGAUGGACUCGCGGCUUAUCAGCUUGUUGGUGGGGUAGUGGCUUACCAAGGCUUUGACGGGUAGCCGGCCUGAGAGGGUGACCGGCCACAUUGGGACUGAGGUACGGCCCAGACUCCUACGGGCGGCAGCAGUGGGGAAUAUUGCGCAAUGGGCGGAAGCGUGAUGUAGCAACGCCGCGUGCGGGAUGACGGCCUUCGGGUUGUAAACCGAUUUCGCCUGUGACGAAGCGUGAGUGACGGUAAUGGGUAAAGAAGCACCGGCUAACUACGUG
RNAcentral lists this ribosomal RNA (468 nucleotides) under uncultured bacterium. RNAcentral describes it as "partial 16S ribosomal RNA". It matches the Rfam family "Bacterial small subunit ribosomal RNA", at positions 28 to 507 of the family's 1533-position model. The record is from RNAcentral.